UGUAUUUGUGUUAAACUUUUUCUGUUUUCAUUUCAUUUUACUGCUGCCUUUGCAUUAUUUGCUUUGUUUUUAAAUCAUUGUGUAGACAAACACCCCAUUAAAGUCCAAAGUUCACUUUGCAGCGCUUAUUCAGCUCUCUCAACUGUGCAUGUAGGUAUGUAUGUGAGCACACAUAAACAUACAUACAUAAAUACCCCACAUACGCCAUAUUUACUACGUGCGCCAGUUUAUUUCAAAACUACGUAUGAGGACAUUUGUUUGCAUCAACAUGUUCUUUUAGAUAACGGCUUGUUACAAAGCAAAACAAUAAACAGCUGCUGAACGCAUACGUGAAUGGAAUAAAUAUCUAUCAAGAAUGUGUUGCUGUUGGGUGCAACCGACUGCGUAAUACCCGUUCACCAUCCAAGAACAACCCAAAAUAUACUACCCAGCUUAAUUUGUUAAUAGAUGUAAAUUAAAGCAGUUCGUCAAUUCUAAAUUCCUUCAGCAAGCACUUAAAACUGUAAAA
Non-coding RNA from Drosophila virilis, 508 nucleotides. The record is from RefSeq and is a predicted model, not a curated record. Lineage: Eukaryota; Metazoa; Arthropoda; Insecta; Diptera; Drosophilidae.